AUUGAACGCUGGCGGCAUGCCUUACACAUGCAAGUCGAACGGCAGCGCGGGAGCAAUCCUGGCGGCGAGCGGCGAACGGGUGAGUAAUAUAUCGGAACGUGCCCAGUAGUGGGGGAUAGCCCGGCGAAAGCCGGAUUAAUACCGCAUGAGACCUGAGGGUGAAAGCGGGGGAUCGCAAGACCUCGCGCUAUUGGAGCGGCCGAUAUCAGAUUAGCUAGUUGGUGGGGUAAAGGCCUACCAAGGCAACGAUCUGUAGUUGGUCUGAGAGGACGACCAGCCACACUGGGACUGAGACACGGCCCAGACUCCUACGGGAGGCAGCAGUGGGGAAUUUUGGACAAUGGGCGCAAGCCUGAUCCAGCAAUGCCGCGUGCAGGAAGAAGGCCUCGGUU
RNAcentral lists this ribosomal RNA (392 nucleotides) under uncultured bacterium. RNAcentral describes it as "bacterial SSU rRNA". It matches the Rfam family "Bacterial small subunit ribosomal RNA", at positions 29 to 424 of the family's 1533-position model. The record is from RNAcentral.